Molecule: unclassified non-coding RNA, 338 nt
Filed under: soil metagenome
Description: partial contains 5.8S ribosomal RNA, internal transcribed spacer 2, and large subunit ribosomal RNA
Rfam family: 5.8S ribosomal RNA (bases 1-121)
Source: RNAcentral
GAUGAAGAACGCAGCGAAAUGCGAUAAGUAAUGCGAAUUGCAGAAUUUCCGUGAGUCAUCGAAUCUUUGAACGCACAUUGCGCCCCUUGGUAUUCCAUGGGGCAUGCCUGUUCGAGCGUCAUUUGUACCUUCAAGCUCUGCUUGGUGUUGGGUGUUUGUCUCGCCUCUGCGUGUAGACUCGCCUUAAAACAAUUGGCAGCCGGCGUAUUGAUUUCGGAGCGCAGUACAUCUCGCGCUUUGCACUCAUAACGACGACGUCCAAAAGUACAUUUUUACACUCUUGACCUCGGAUCAGGUAGGGAUACCCGCUGAACUUAAGCAUAUCAAUAAGCGGAGGA